CAUCAAGUGUAAUACCCCAUAUCAUGUUAAUCCUAGUUGUAAAAAGAAAAGAAAAAGAAGGAUAGUAGUAGGCUGCCCAUCUAUCAAACCAAAAUAAAAAGGAAGAACGAAAUAAAGGGCUUAAGCCUACCUCAGUCUAAAAAAGAAAAAAACAAAAAGAUGGAAAGGGUUUAAAAUUGGCCCAUCUACCAAUAUUCAUAUAAUGAAAAAGAAAAGGGAACUUUUUCCCAUUAAUCUGUUAGAAAGGCACCAAUUGGGAGCAACCAAAGUGGUAAGUAAUCUGUCUAUCAUGCAAUAAGAGGGGAAAAAAUCAAUUGUUCGUUCAGUUAAAAGAAAAGAAAAGCGUAAGAGUUUGAUUGGGAAAUUCUUCUGGGUUUAAGAUUUGAUCGAAGAGAGUGAUACAAAUCGUUCAAGGUGAUAAAUUUGGUAUUUCGUCACAUGUACUAACACAGGUAACGAUGAGAAUCUUGUUAGCUAGAGGAUUCGAGUGACAAAUUCCUGGUUAAGAAGUUAGCUGAAGAAGAAACUUGGAAGAAUAGUAGAAAAAGGCCACUGAUAGUCAAUAUGGUGAACCGUCAGUCAUGCGACGGACCAUCAGGGUGCCAUCAGAGUAAAACAAAAAUGAGCACAUGAGUAACCCCUACGACGGUCCAAAUGGUGGAUCGUCAGUAACUCGAUGGAUUGCCAACUUGGUCGUCAAUCUGGAACAGAACCUGGAUAUCUGGAGGAUCAAGUAACGGUACCUGUGAUGGGCUGUCGAACCAGCGAUGUACCACCGACAUAACCGUCAACCCCUAUCCAGAACAUGACAUUUUGGGACUCUUAACGAUGGUCCACUCGACGUAUCGUCAGUCUACCGAAGGGCCGUCGAUGUGACCAUCAACUUGGAAGUGGCUUUUUAUGAGUUUAAAUUUUAAAUCCUCUGCACCUGGGAACAUAUAAAUACCCAGUUUAGGUUUUAUUUAAGUAUCUUUAUCAUAUUUCCAUCUUUGAAUAUUAUUGUACGUAGUAUUCUAUGAGAUUCAAGCUAGAAUCGUGGAUCUAAACAUUUUAUGCCUAUUCUCUUCUGAAGAUUCAAGAACAAAUCUUGUGAUUUUUGUAAGUAAUUUUUGAAUUUAUUUAUGAGAAACAUAAUGACUUCUUCUUCUU
Molecule: long non-coding RNA, 1149 nt
Organism: Capsicum annuum
Lineage: Eukaryota; Viridiplantae; Streptophyta; Magnoliopsida; Solanales; Solanaceae
Exons: 4
Source: RefSeq, a predicted model, not a curated record